RNAcentral lists this ribosomal RNA (294 nucleotides) under uncultured microorganism. RNAcentral's name for it is "partial 16S ribosomal RNA". It matches the Rfam family "Bacterial small subunit ribosomal RNA", at positions 505 to 796 of the family's 1533-position model. The record is from RNAcentral.
GUGCCAGCAGCCGCGGUAAUACGUAGGGUGCGAGCGUUGUCGUAGAAUUACUGGGCGUAAAGAGCUCGUAGGUGGUCUGUCGCGUCAUUUGUGAAAGCCCGGUGCUUAACUCCGGGUUGGCAGGCGAUACGGGCAUGACUGGAGUACUGUAGGGGAGACUGGAAUUCCUGGUGUAGCGGUGAAAUGCGCAGAUAUCAGGAGGAACACCGGUGGCGAAGGCGGGUCUCUGGGCAGUAACUGACGCUGAGGAGCGAAAGCAUGGGUAGCGAACAGGAUUAGAUACCCUGGUAGUCC